GAGGUUGUAGCUUAGUGAUAGAGCACUUGACUACCAUGUAUGAGGCACUGAGUUCGAUCCUCAGCACCACA
This 71-nucleotide transfer RNA is filed under the name Marmota monax (woodchuck). RNAcentral's name for it is "tRNA.Gly". It matches the Rfam family "tRNA". Rfam says of the family: Transfer RNA (tRNA) molecules are approximately 80 nucleotides in length. Their secondary structure includes four short double-helical elements and three loops (D, anti-codon, and T loops). Lineage: Eukaryota; Metazoa; Chordata; Mammalia; Rodentia; Sciuridae. The record is from RNAcentral.